AUUGAACGCUGGCGCCAUGCCUUACACAUGCAAGUCGAACGGCAGCACGGGGGCAACCCUGGUGGCGAGUGGCGAACGGGUGAGUAAUAUAUCGGAACGUGCCCUGGAGUGGGGGAUAACUAGUCGAAAGACUAGCUAAUACCGCAUACGAUCUACGGAUGAAAGUGGGGGAUCGCAAGACCUCGCGCGAUUGGAGCGGCCGAUGGCAGAUUAGGUAGUUGGUGGGGUAAAGGCUCACCAAGCCGACGAUCUGUAGCUGGUCUGAGAGGACGACCAGCCACACUGGGACUGAGACACGGCCCAGACUCCUACGGGAGGCAGCAGUGGGGAAU
This 332-nucleotide ribosomal RNA is filed under the name uncultured beta proteobacterium. RNAcentral's name for it is "bacterial SSU rRNA". It matches the Rfam family "Bacterial small subunit ribosomal RNA", at positions 30 to 362 of the family's 1533-position model. Lineage: Bacteria; Pseudomonadati; Pseudomonadota; Betaproteobacteria. The record is from RNAcentral.